Molecule: ribosomal RNA, 484 nt
Filed under: uncultured bacterium
Lineage: Bacteria
Description: partial 16S ribosomal RNA
Rfam family: Bacterial small subunit ribosomal RNA
Source: RNAcentral
AUUGAACGCUGGCGGCAUACUUUACACAUGCAAGUCGAACGGCAGCGCGGGCUUCGGCCUGGCGGCGAGUGGCGAACGGGUGAGUAAUGCAUCGGAACGUGCCCAGUAGUGGGGGAUAGCCCGGCGAAAGCCGGAUUAAUACCGCAUACGACCUGAGGGUGAAAGCGGGGGACCGAAAGGCCUCGCGCUAUUGGAGCGGCCGAUGUCGGAUUAGCUAGUUGGUGGGGUAAAGGCUUACCAAGGCGACGAUCCGUAGCUGGUCUGAGAGGACGACCAGCCACACUGGGACUGAGACACGGCCCAGACUCCUACGGGAGGCAGCAGUGGGGAAUUUUGGACAAUGGGGGCAACCCUGAUCCAGCCAUGCCGCGUGCGGGAAGAAGGCCUUCGGGUUGUAAACCGCUUUUGUUCGGGAAGAAAUCCUCUGGGCUAAUACCCCGGGGGGAUGACGGUACCGGAAGAAUAAGCACCGGCUAACUACGUG